UNAAUAGAGAAAGAGUGAGUAACACGUGGGCAAUCUGCCCUUCACUCUGGGACAAGCCCUGGAAACGGGGUCUAAUACCGGAUAUCACUCCUGCAGGCAUCUGCGGGGGUCGAAAGCUCCGGCGGUGAAGGAUGAGCCCGCGGCCUAUCAACUUGUUGGUGAGGUAGUGGCUCACCAAGGCGACGACGGGUAGCCGGCCUGAGAGGGCGACCGGCCACACUGGGACUGAGACACGGCCCAGACUCCUACGGGAGGCAGCAGUGGGGAAUAUUGCACAAUGGGCGAAAGCCUGAUGCACCGACGCCGCGUGAGGGAUGACCGCCUUCGGGUUGUAAACCUCUUUCAGCAGGGAAGAAACGAAAGUGACGGUACCUGCAAAAUAAGCGCCGGCUAACUACGUGCCAGCAGCCGCGGUAAUACGUAGGGCGCAAGCGUUGUCCAGAAUUAUUGGGCGUAAAGAGCUCGUAGGCGGCUUGUCACGUCUGGUGUGAAAUCCCGGGGCUUAACCCCGGGUCUGCAUUCGAUACGGGCAUGCUAGAGUGNGGUAGGGGANAUCUGAAUUCCUGGUGUAGCGGUGAAAUGCNCAGAUAUCANGANNANNNCNGGUGGCGAANGCGGUCUCUGGGGCCNUACUGAACNUUAAGNANCAAAAGGUUGGGGAG
Molecule: ribosomal RNA, 662 nt
Filed under: Streptomyces sp. LK2231.1
Lineage: Bacteria; Bacillati; Actinomycetota; Actinomycetes; Kitasatosporales; Streptomycetaceae
Description: partial 16S ribosomal RNA
Rfam family: Bacterial small subunit ribosomal RNA
Source: RNAcentral